RNAcentral lists this ribosomal RNA (429 nucleotides) under Verrucomicrobiota bacterium. Its description in RNAcentral is "Verrucomicrobia bacterium partial 16S ribosomal RNA". It matches the Rfam family "Bacterial small subunit ribosomal RNA", at positions 355 to 776 of the family's 1533-position model. Lineage: Bacteria; Pseudomonadati; Verrucomicrobiota. The record is from RNAcentral.
UAGGGAAUCUUCCGCAAUGGACGAAAGUCUGACGGAGCAACGCCGCGUGAGUGAAGAAGGAUUUCGGUUCGUAAAACUCUGUUGUUAGGGAAGAAAAAAUGUAUAGUAACUAUAUACAAAAGAGACGGUACCUAACCAGAAAGCCACGGCUAACUACGUGCCAGCAGCCGCGGUAAUACGUAGGUGGCAAGCGUUGUCCGGAAUUAUUGGGCGUAAAGCGCGCGCAGGUGGUUUAGAAAGUCUGAUGUGAAAGCCCACGGCUCAACCGUGGAGGGUCAUUGGAAACUAAUAAACUUGAGUGCAGGAGAGAAAAGUGGAAUUCCUAGUGUAGCGGUGAAAUGCGUAGAGAUUAGGAGGAACGCCGGUGGCGAAAGCGGCUUUUUGGCCUGCAACUGACACUGAGGCGCGAAAGCGUGGGGAGCAAACAGG